RNAcentral lists this ribosomal RNA (497 nucleotides) under uncultured bacterium. RNAcentral describes it as "partial 16S ribosomal RNA". It matches the Rfam family "Bacterial small subunit ribosomal RNA", at positions 28 to 507 of the family's 1533-position model. The record is from RNAcentral.
GAUGAACGCUGGCGGCGUGCCUAAUACAUGCAAGUCGAGCGAACAGACGAGAAUCUUGCUUCUCUGAGGUUAGCGGCGGACGGGUGCGUAACACGUGGAUAACCUACCUAUCAGACUGGGAUAACUACUGGAAACCGGAGCUAAUACCGGAUAAUAUAUUCAACCGCAUGGUUCACUAGCGAAUGAUGGUCUUGUUGUCACUUCUAGAUGGAACCGCGCUGCAUUACCUAGUUGGUAAGGUAACGGCUUACCAAGGCAACGAUGCAUAGCCGACCUGAGAGGGUGAUCGGCCACACUGGAACUGAGACACGGUCCAGACUCCUACGGGAGGCAGCAGUAGGGAAUCUUCCGCAAUGGGCGAAAGCCUGACGGAGCAACGCCGCGUGAGUGAUGAAGGUCUUCGGAUCGUAAAACUCUGUUAUUAGGGAAGAACAUAUGUGUAAGUAACUGUGCACAUCUUGACGGUACCUAAUCAGAAAGCCACGGCUAACUACGUG